Molecule: ribosomal RNA, 135 nt
Filed under: uncultured bacterium
Lineage: Bacteria
Description: partial 16S ribosomal RNA
Rfam family: Bacterial small subunit ribosomal RNA
Source: RNAcentral
CCCCUUUCGACCCGGAAGAAAGCCCGCAAGGGUUUGACGGUACGGGUAUAAGAAGCCCCGGCUAACUACGUGCCAGCAGCCGGGGUAAUACGUAGGGGGCCAGCGUUGGUCGGAAUUACUGGGCGUAAAGGGUCU